GUGGUUUGUCGCGUUGUUCGUGAAAUCUCACGGCUUAACUGUGAGCGUGCGGGCGAUACGGGCAGACUUGAGUACUGCAGGGGAGACUGGAAUUCCUGGUGUAGCGGUGGAAUGCGCAGAUAUCAGGAGGAACACCGGUGGCGAAGGCGGGUCUCUGGGCAGUAACUGACGCUGAGGAGCGAAAGCGUGGGGAGCGAACAGGAUUAGAUACCCUGGUAGUCCACGCCGUAAACGGUGGGUACUAGGUGUGGGUUUCCUUCCUUGGGAUCCGUGCCGUAGCUAACGCAUUAAGUACCCCGCCUGGGGAGUACGGCCGCAAGGCUAAAACUCAAAGAAAUUGACGGGGGCCCGCACAAGCGGCGGAGCAUGUGGAUUAAUUCGAUGCAACGCGAAGAACCUUACCUGGGUUCGACAUGCACAGGACGCCGGCAGAGAUGUCGGUUCCCUUGUGGCCUGUGUGCAGGUGGUGCAUGGCUGUCGUCAGCUCGUGUCGUGAGAUGUUGGGUUAAGUCCCGCAACGAGCGCAACCCUUGUCUCAUGUUGCCAGCGGGUAAUGCCGGGGACUCGUGAGAGACUGCCGGGGUCAACUCGGAGGAAGGUGGGGAUGACGUCAAGUCAUCAUGCCCCUUAUGUCCAGGGCUUCACACAUGCUACAAUGGCCGGUACAAAGGGCUGCGAUGCCGCGAGGUUAAGCGAAUCCUUUUAAAGCCGGUCUCAGUUCGGAUCGGGGUCCGCAACUCGACCCCGUGAAGUCGGAGUCACUAGUAAUCGCAGAUCAGCAACGCUGC
This 788-nucleotide ribosomal RNA is filed under the name uncultured Mycobacterium sp. RNAcentral's name for it is "bacterial SSU rRNA". It matches the Rfam family "Bacterial small subunit ribosomal RNA", at positions 575 to 1360 of the family's 1533-position model. Lineage: Bacteria; Bacillati; Actinomycetota; Actinomycetes; Mycobacteriales; Mycobacteriaceae. The record is from RNAcentral.